UGGCUCAGAUUGAACGCUGCGGCAAGGCCUAACACAUGCAAGUCGAGCGGAUGACGGGAGCUUGCUCCUUGAUUCAGCGGCGGACGGGUGAGUAAUGCCUAGGAAUCUGCCUGGUAGUGGGGGACAACGUUUCGAAAGGAACGCUAAUACCGCAUACGUCCUACGGGAGAAAGCAGGGGACCUUCGGGCCUUGCGCUAUCAGAUGAGCCUAGGUCGGAUUAGCUAGUUGGUGGGGUAAUGGCUCACCAAGGCGACGAUCCGUAACUGGUCUGAGAGGAUGAUCAGUCACACUGGAACUGAGACACGGUCCAGACUCCUACGGGAGGCAGCAGUGGGGAAUAUUGGACAAUGGGCGAAAGCCUGAUCCAGCCAUGCCGCGUGUGUGAAGAAGGUCUUCGGAUUGUAAAGCACUUUAAGUUGGGAGGAAGGGCAGUAAGUUAAUACCUUGCUGUUUUGACGUUACCGACAGAAUAAGCACCGGCUAACUCUGUGCCAGCAGCCGCGGUAAUACAGAGGGUGCAAGCGUUAAUCGGAAUUACUGGGCGUAAAGCGCGCGUAGGUGGUUUGUUAAGUUGGAUGUGAAAGCCCCGGGCUCAACCUGGGAACUGCAUCCAAAACUGGCAAGCUAGAGUACGGUAGAGGGUGGUGGAAUUUCCUGUGUAGCGGUGAAAUGCGUAGAUAUAGGAAGGAACACCAGUGGCGAAGGCGACCACCUGGACUGAUACUGACACUGAGGUGCGAAAGCGUGGGGAGCAAACAGGAGUAGAUACCCUGGUAGUCCACGCCGUAAACGAUGUCAACAUGGGCCGUUGGAAUCCUUGAGAUUUUAGUGGCGCAGCUAACGCAUUAAGUGACCGCUCUG
Molecule: ribosomal RNA, 862 nt
Filed under: Pseudomonas putida
Lineage: Bacteria; Pseudomonadati; Pseudomonadota; Gammaproteobacteria; Pseudomonadales; Pseudomonadaceae
Description: bacterial SSU rRNA
Rfam family: Bacterial small subunit ribosomal RNA
Source: RNAcentral